This 462-nucleotide ribosomal RNA is filed under the name uncultured bacterium. RNAcentral describes it as "partial 16S ribosomal RNA". It matches the Rfam family "Bacterial small subunit ribosomal RNA", at positions 28 to 522 of the family's 1533-position model. The record is from RNAcentral.
GAUGAAUGCUGGCGGCGCGCCUAACACAUGCAAGUCGAGCGGUAACAUGGACUUCGGUCUGAUGACGAGCGGCGGACGGCUGAGUAACGCGUGGGAACAUGCCCCAAAGUGAGGAAUAACUGCCCGAAAGGGUGGCUAAUGCCGCAUAUGAUCUUCGGAUUAAAGGAUUCAUCCGCUUUGGGAGUGGCCUGCGUACGAUUAGGUAGUUGGUGAGGUAAUGGCUCACCAAGCCUACGAUCGUUAACUGGUCUGAGAGGAUGAUCAGUCAGACUGGAACUGAGACACGGUCCAGACUCCUACGGGAGGCAGCAGUGAGGAAUCUUCCACAAUGGGCGAAAGCCUGAUGGAGCGACGCCGCGUGCAGGAUGAAGGCCUUCGGGUUGUAAACUGCUUUUAUAAGUGAAGAAUAUGACGGUAACUUAUGAAUAAGCACCGGCUAACUACGUGCCAGCAGCCGCCGUA